This 270-nucleotide unclassified non-coding RNA is filed under the name Hevea brasiliensis (rubber tree). Lineage: Eukaryota; Viridiplantae; Streptophyta; Magnoliopsida; Malpighiales; Euphorbiaceae. The record is from RNAcentral.
AAGAGGCCCCAAAAGAGAACAUGAAAGGAAAUGUGCAUCUGUGCUUAUCCAUUCAAAAAUUCAGAGAAUUACUAGCUCAAUGGUAAGCAUCAAAAUUGCAAUAGGUAAUGCAACAAGGAUACAAUUGCCCAUUGGCCACAUAAAAAAGGAUCCAUCCAUUAUUACAACUUUAUUGAAGUCCCAAAAUACUGGAACAAUCAACAAACAAACUAUUGAAGAUUGAUAACAGGCACUACUAGUCCUAGACCAAUAAUGAAUAAUACAAACCUG